UAUGCUAUGCGAUGUUGCAGGCAUAUUGUUAAUUUAUGUUUCUGCAAUGUCUCCGUAAUAUUGCAUUGCAAUCUGCAACAUUGCAACGUUGCUAGAAUUUUCUGUGCUGUAUGGGAAGCGAGCACGAAUCAUCAAAGGUGGAUGCUACUCCUUGAGUUAGACGAACCGCGACAACUACUCUUAAUACGCAUUGCAAAUUUUUCUUUGACGGACUAAGGGUCGCGCUUCAGAUGAAGAGUAAGGGGAAUAGGCUAGCGCUCUUUGGCAAUCGCACUCAUCUGUCAUUAUUCUUUUGACUUCAGCGCCUUUAAUGCAAGAUCUUUAAAUUGCCAUGAACACAAUUUCUGUUCUUCGCACCAAUACAGAUACGUGGAUGAUAUAAUGAUGGCUGUCCCAAACGAUUUCAAUUGAUUCUAUUUUAAUGACUUUUAACUCUUUCCAUCCGAGAAUGCAGUUCACAGUAGAAAUAGAGGGUGACAAGAUAAACAUUUCGGAUAUCAUAAUUAUUAAGGAUGACCAUUUUUUAACUAUUGACUGGUAUCAUAAGUCUACGUUUUCAGGCAAAUAUUUGAAUUUUUUAUCGGCUAAACCCUUGUCACAAAAAAAAGGAACCGUCAUGGAAAUGAUUGUUAGAGCAUUUUUAUUAUCUGACCCAAAAUUCCAUAGAAAGAACAUUGAGUUUAUUGUAGAUAUUCUUUUAACCAAUGACUACCCUGCUGAAUUUAUUUUUGAGACAAUUAAUAGCCGCUUAAAAUCCUUUACAAAAACACAUUUAAACAACAGUUAGUGAUAUCGACAACAAAUGAAAAGACUCAGUGGUUUUUGUUACCAUAUAUUCCCACAAUCUCAGAAAAAUUUAAGACUAUCACAAACAAUUUAAAUAUAAAAUUGGCAUUCUUUAGUCUUAAUAAAUUAAGCAAGGUUGUCAAAGUACAGAAAGAUGUUUCCCCAAAUAACUUAAAAAAGAAUGUUGUUUAUAAAAUUCUGUGUAAAGAUUGCGAUGCAUCAUACGUAGGCCAAACUAGUAGGAAAUUGGAAACAAGAAUUAUUGAACAUUAUAACCAUAUUAAUUGGAAUACGUAUAAUUACUCUGUCAUUACAGAACACAGAAUUAAUUAUAAUCAUGAUUUUGAUUGGGAAAACACCAAAAUUUUAGAUAAUGAAUAUUACUUGGACAGGCGGUUGAUAUUUGAAAUGCUACAUAUUCAAUUACAAGAUAACAGUCUUAAUUUACAAACAGACAUUAAAUGUUUGCAUCAUGCUUAUCUCUCGUUAUUGAAUAAAUUGUAAUAGAAAUAAUCCGAAACGAUAUACGAUAAUAAAUUGUGACUAAUUUUCAUUGUAACCCAGCAA
Long non-coding RNA from Solenopsis invicta (red fire ant), 1353 nucleotides. RefSeq lists it as uncharacterized. The record is from RefSeq and is a predicted model, not a curated record. The transcript is spliced from 3 exons. NCBI's taxonomy places the organism in Eukaryota, Metazoa, Arthropoda, Insecta, Hymenoptera, Formicidae.